GGCGGUGUAGCUCAGAUGGCUAGAGCGUCCGGUUCAUACCCGGAGGUCGUGGGUUCGAUCCCCUCCGCCGCUA
RNAcentral lists this transfer RNA (73 nucleotides) under Desemzia incerta. RNAcentral's name for it is "tRNA-Met". It matches the Rfam family "tRNA". From Rfam's summary of the family: Transfer RNA (tRNA) molecules are approximately 80 nucleotides in length. Their secondary structure includes four short double-helical elements and three loops (D, anti-codon, and T loops). Lineage: Bacteria; Bacillati; Bacillota; Bacilli; Lactobacillales; Carnobacteriaceae. The record is from RNAcentral.